CACAUCUAACAGCACACAUUUUGCUUCAGAAGCAAAACUAAGUUUGAAAAAAAAAAUCAGUUUUACAGGUGUUAAGUAUAAAUUUAAAUAUAGGUAAGACCAGUAAUGGCUAAAAUCAUUAAAGUAAUGCAGAAGAGCUCUGGUUGGAUGCAGUUGAAAUGCCUUCUGAGUUAGAGCGACUCCUGUAACCCCCCACCUUCUCCUGUAACUCUCAUUUCUGACUCUAAGAUAGUUUUCCUUACAGUGUCUCCUCUGGGCAGGCAACGUGGCCCUUCCUUUGAGAUGCACUACUGAAGGCCCUCUCAGGAGUGUCAAUGCAGCCCUCUCAGAGACACACAUUAAAUACAUGCCCACCUCUCUCUGCCGAUGGACAAACAGUAUUUACCCCGUGAUCCGGCACCGAGUUCUCCUUAUCCAGAUGUACUGAUGCCCCUUUUGCGUGCUCAGAUCCAAAACACCGAGAUAAAUUAUGAUGGGUUCUUGGCUUCCUCCACUGAAAAUGUUUUCAGCUGUCAGAGCCUCAGACUCUGCGAUCCAGCCUUGUCAUCGUCCUGAUUCACAGGGCAGGAAUCCUCUGCACUGACUGGAACAGGAACGCUGAGACAGCUGACAAAUGAGCCCAAACAUUCCGUGUGUGCCAGAAAGCCGGAGCAGUUCACAUGGAGCAGGGCUGGGUGAUUCUUUCCCGUUGUGAACCAUCUGUAUGUUAUAUGAGUAACAGCAAAGGGGGAACAGUCCUGCAGCCCAGUGGCUCCAAGCACUGGAUUAUUAAGUGAUUUUACCCAGUUAAAGGGAUGAAUGCUUUAAACAAAACCGUGCUAAAUGAAACUCGAGGACUAUUAGUUCACACCAAGUUUCUGUACAUGCAAUUAAGAUGUCAUGCACGGGCUGUAUUUCAGCAGUCAUUAAUAAUGUAAGCAUAAACCAUUAAAUACAGUACAAGGAUCUUGGACUGGGUAUGACAAUGCUGAAUGCAGACUGAGUUUAGAAAAUGGUAUUUGAGAUCCUGAAGAAUUCCAAGUAAUUAUGUCAUGAAACUAGAUGCCCUGUUUUAAAAUCACUGUUCAGAAAUACAUUCCACUCUCCAUUCCCUGAUGCUUGGCUCACAGUUAGAAACCUGUUAUAAUCUCAUUCCCAUAUUUUGU
Long non-coding RNA from Myiozetetes cayanensis, 1145 nucleotides. RefSeq lists it as uncharacterized. The record is from RefSeq and is a predicted model, not a curated record. The transcript has 3 exons. Lineage: Eukaryota; Metazoa; Chordata; Aves; Passeriformes; Tyrannidae.